AAUAGAAUAAGCUAAUUUAAAGCUGUUGGGUUCAUACCCCGAAAAUGAAAUUUUGUUCUUCUAUUA
RNAcentral lists this transfer RNA (66 nucleotides) under Lirapex sp. ZZ-2022. RNAcentral describes it as "tRNA-Met". Lineage: Eukaryota; Metazoa; Mollusca; Gastropoda; Neomphalida; Peltospiridae. The record is from RNAcentral.